AACGAACGCUGGCGGCAUGCCUAACACAUGCAAGUCGAACGAGACCUUCGGGUCUAGUGGCGCACGGGUGCGUAACGCGUGGGAACCUGCCCUUAGGUUCGGAAUAACUCCCCGAAAGGGGUGCUAAUACCGGAUAAUGUCUUCGGACCAAAGAUUUAUCGCCUUUGGAUGGGCCCGCGUUGGAUUAGCUAGUUGGUAGGGUAAAAGCCUACCAAGGCGACGAUCCAUAGCUGGUCUGAGAGGAUGAUCAGCCACACUGGGACUGAGACACGGCCCAGACUCCGACGGGAGGGAGGAGUAGGGAAUAUUGGAGAUUGGGCGGAAGGCUGAGCCAGCGAUGACGCGUGAGUGAUGAAGGGCUUAGGGUUGUAAAGCUCUUUUAGCCGGGAUGAUAAUGACAGUACCGGGAGAAUAAGCUCCGGCUAACUCCGUG
This 433-nucleotide ribosomal RNA is filed under the name uncultured bacterium. Its description in RNAcentral is "partial 16S ribosomal RNA". It matches the Rfam family "Bacterial small subunit ribosomal RNA", at positions 29 to 507 of the family's 1533-position model. The record is from RNAcentral.